This 468-nucleotide ribosomal RNA is filed under the name uncultured bacterium. RNAcentral's name for it is "partial 16S ribosomal RNA". It matches the Rfam family "Bacterial small subunit ribosomal RNA", at positions 28 to 507 of the family's 1533-position model. The record is from RNAcentral.
GACGAACGCUGGCGGCGUGCUUAACACAUGCAAGUCGAACGGAAAGGCCCUGCUUUUGUGGGGUGCUCGAGUGGCGAACGGGUGAGUAACACGUGAGUAACCUGCCCUUGACUUUGGGAUAACUUCAGGAAGCUGGGGCUAAUACCGGAUAGGAGCUCCUGCUGCAUGGUGGGGGUUGGAAAGUUUCGGCGGUUGGGGAUGGACUCGCGGCUUAUCAGCUUGUUGGUGGGGUAGUGGCUUACCAAGGCUUUGACGGGUAGCCGGCCUGAGAGGGUGACCGGCCACAUUGGGACUGAGAUACGGCUCAGACUCCUACGGGAGGCAGCAGUGGGGAAUAUUGCACAAUGGGCGGAAGCCUGAUGCAGCAACGCCGCGUGCGGGAUGACGGCCUUCGGGUUGUAAACCGCUUUCGCCUGUGACGAAGCGUGAGUGACGGUAAUGGGUAAAGAAGCACCGGCUAACUACGUG